UCCAACAAUUAAUUAUGAAUCGGUGAAGACCUUCAAACUAUCGAUGUCAAGUUUCUUUGCGAUCUUCAAGCCGGCUAAGAGUGCUUCAUAUUCGGCUUGAUUAUUCGAUGCUUUGAAGUUGAACUGAAUGGCAUAUUCAGUGACCACUCCUUCGAAAUUUGUAAGAAUGAAACCUGCUCCACUGCCCUGUGCAUUAAAUGCUCCAUCAAUAUGCAGCAUCCAAAUCGACUUUAGGUC
RNAcentral lists this long non-coding RNA (237 nucleotides) under Elaeis guineensis (African oil palm). Its description in RNAcentral is "long non-coding RNA (EGUI_LNC001202)". The record is from RNAcentral. Lineage: Eukaryota; Viridiplantae; Streptophyta; Magnoliopsida; Arecales; Arecaceae.